Long non-coding RNA from Cannabis sativa, 1211 nucleotides. RefSeq lists it as uncharacterized. The transcript has 3 exons. NCBI's taxonomy places the organism in Eukaryota, Viridiplantae, Streptophyta, Magnoliopsida, Rosales, Cannabaceae. The record is from RefSeq and is a predicted model, not a curated record.
GAAUACAAUAAACUUUUUCCAAUUAGGUGGAGAUGUGUGUGGAAAAUUAAGAAUUUUGAGAAGGUUGAUAACGUGGCUUCCAUUGAGAGAUUAGCUCUCAUUUUUGUUAGUCCUUGAAGACCAUUUCCUUCCUACAUAUAUGUAACUUUGAAAAUAAAAAAAAAAGAAAAUUAUUUUAUUCCUUAAGUAUUUGACACAUGUGCUAUUAAGUGGGAUCAUGAACGGUAUAGUUAGAAGAGUUGUUAUGUUAUUUAAAAUUUGAAUCAUACUAGUAGGAUAUACGGCUAUUAUGUGAUAGCUUUAGGUGGUUACUUUCUAAGCCUAUAUAUAGAACUUUAGGUAUUCAUUCUUCACUCAUCAAUUAAGCUAUCACAUAUAAAAGAUUACUAUCUCUUUCUCGUCUCUUGUUACUAAUCCCUAUUUUGUCUUUUAUGCCAUAAUAUUCAUUGCUUAUUACCUCCCGCCACCAUCAAUACCAUCGUCCUUUAUCAUUUUCUCUAUAAUCUUUUUUUUACAAUUUCUUUUUCUAUUAUUUUACCAUCAUCCCAACACUAAUCCCAACCAAUUAUUUCAUCUCCAUCAUUCUUGUCAUACUCACAUAUCACCAUCACCAACCUCUUACUUAUUCAUAUAUAGAUACUCUACUAUUAUUUACUUAUAUAUAUCAACAUCAUCACCGCCAUUAUUUUCCUGCCAGAUUUCCUUUCUAAUCUAAGGUUUUUCAUAAGAUAAUUAUUGUUUCUCAAAAGGAUCACUUUCAUUGCAAUCAAGGCUAGGACUCCACAUUCGAGAUCAAGGUAACUGAAAUUAAGUCUAGAAUGCCGGUGGCGAGUGGAACUUUGGACGCUUGUGUGUGUGAACUCGCUGAGGGCCAUAUAACUGCGGGCGGUCUAGGACGCUCUGUUUAUUUAUUUACGCUAUCAUGUUUAUGUCGCAAUUAUUUUAAUUAUUAUUUAUUAUGUCUUUUGUACGAAAACUGGCCAGUUGUGAACAUUUUUAAGUAUUAAAUAAAAAUGCGACAUUAUGAUUUUCCGCGUUUAACGCUUAUAAAUAAAAUUAAUAUUUUUAUAAAAGUACGGGCAUUACAUAAUCUUAAGAUGACAGUAGAUUAAAGUAAAACCUAAUUUAGCAGUCGUCUAAACAAGAUUAAAACAAUAAUCAUAGCAUUGAACAUAGAAGAAUAGAAGCAAUUUGAUAUAAUGGAAACUAAA